This 280-nucleotide ribosomal RNA is filed under the name uncultured bacterium. RNAcentral's name for it is "partial 16S ribosomal RNA". It matches the Rfam family "Bacterial small subunit ribosomal RNA", at positions 32 to 301 of the family's 1533-position model. The record is from RNAcentral.
AAUCAACGCUGGCGGCGUGCCUCAGACAUGCAAGUCGAACGAUUAAAGCUCUCUUCGGAGAGUGCAUAGAGUGGCGCACGGGUGAGUAACACGUAAGUAAUCUACCUUCGAGUGGGGAAUAACGUCCGGAAACGGACGCUAAUACCGCAUAAUAGCAGCGGCAUCGCAAGAUGACAGUUGUUAAAGGAGCAAUCCGCUUGAAGAGGAGCUUGCGGCAGAUUAGCUUGUUGGUAAGGUAACGGCUUACCAAGGCUACGAUCUGUAUCCGGUCUAAGAGGAC